UGCAAUUAUACUCUAAAUUCGUUCACUACCUUGAGGUUGUGAAGUAACCAAGAAGAUUGCUACAACAACACUGGAACUGACACGCGAGAAAUAGUCAGUUCCAAAAUUUA
Molecule: small nucleolar RNA, 110 nt
Organism: Wyeomyia smithii (pitcher-plant mosquito)
Lineage: Eukaryota; Metazoa; Arthropoda; Insecta; Diptera; Culicidae
Product: small nucleolar RNA SNORA5
Exons: 1
Source: RefSeq, a predicted model, not a curated record